UGUGUUUGUAUGAGUGUGUGUGUGUGUAUAUCAUGCACACACUCUGCAUUUUAUACACACACACACACACAUACACACACACU
Pelobates cultripes (western spadefoot toad) is the source of this 83-nucleotide non-coding RNA. The record is from the annotation of a GenBank genome assembly. NCBI's taxonomy places the organism in Eukaryota, Metazoa, Chordata, Amphibia, Anura, Pelobatidae.